Molecule: ribosomal RNA, 601 nt
Filed under: Pelobates cultripes (western spadefoot toad)
Lineage: Eukaryota; Metazoa; Chordata; Amphibia; Anura; Pelobatidae
Rfam family: Eukaryotic small subunit ribosomal RNA
Source: RNAcentral
UUGAGGAGGCGGUGACCGUGGCGGUGUAGGUGGAAGCGGCGGUAGAGGAGGAGGAUGAGGUAGACAACACUGUUUUUAUAUAUAUAUAUAUAUAUAUAUAUAUAUAUAUAUUUUAAUUGGGGUAGUCACCAAAAUAUUGGGACAUGUAAAAAAGACAACUCUGUUCCGCAGAGUAGCUGUUGACAUUAUAGUUGCGCGGGCACUUUGUUGACUCUAGAGAACCUCAGGCCAAUGGUACAUCCCCGUGAUGGCGACUUUGCAUUUGGAUGUCAUCCAUAUCAACUUUCGAUGCCAGUUUCUGCACCUACCAUGGUGACCAACGGGUAAUGGGGAAUCAGGGUUCCAUUCCGUACAGGGACCCUGAGAAACGGCUACCACGUGCAAGGAAGGCAGCAGGCGUGCAAAUGACCCACUCCCGACGUGGGAAGGUAGUGACGACAAAUAACAAUACAGGACUCUUUAGAGGCCCUGUAAUUGUAAUGAGUGCACUUGAAAUCCUUUAACUCUGAUAAAUUAGAGGGAAGUCUGGUGCAGAGCCACUGACCCAUGCGUGCUGAAGCUGAAACUCCACUAUCACCUGCUGCUGCUCGCACAGUCUCAU